GUGUGAUGUCAUCAGAGGAGGGUGGAGCUUUGUGGCUAGGGCAGUCCUCCACUUCCGGAGAUCCAGGCUCCAGAAACAGAGGAAUUUCAGGCUUCAGGAUUUCAGAGGCCAAAUUCCAUCUGGCCUAGUCUGCCUGGCUCACGAUAAGAAAACCGAAGUUCACCAAAGUAAAGUGACUUGUCCAAGACCUCACAGCUAUCAAGUAGAGAAACUGGGAUUUGGAUGCAGGUCUGUCUGACUCCAGACACCGCGAUCUUAACCAUCGAGGCAGAGUUUCUACCUUUUAGGAAUUUCCAAAUAGAGGAGACAACCUCAGGACUUGAACAAUGCAGAAACACAGUCAAAAAUACAAAGAGCUAGGGAGUGAUGCCUAUAUUGUGCUGUGAGGGUUAAUAUCGCUUCCUGUCAAAGGACAAUCUAAGGGAGGUGAUAUUUGUUAAUAUACAAGGUUUUUUUUAAAAGAAGGGGUCAGCUUUGAACACAGUAGUGAUCGCAACUGGGGAGAAGAGCAACCAGGAAGAGGAUAUAUCAUAAGCAAAAGCACUGGUGUGGGAAAGAAUAGGGAUUUGGUGGGAAGUGUGAACGAUACCACUGGUUGGUGUGAAAAUACAGGCAAACCCGAAUAGCUCAUGUCCUCUCAAAUGUUUGUUCAGAAGCCACCAUCUCAGUGAUGCCUAAGCUGACAAUCCCAUUUACAGAUGCAUCAAAAUUUGCCCUCCUUGUUCCUCUUUUCUGCUCUAUUUUUUCUCCAAAGAACUUUUCACCUCUAAUAGACAAUGUACCUUCCCUGCCCAUCCCCUGCCCCCCAAUUCUUAAAUAUCUCCACCCACUAGAACAUAAGCUUUAAGAAGGCAGGAAUUUUUGUCAGCUUCACUCCUUGAAUUGCCAGGGUGUAUCACAGGACCUUGAGUGUGUUGAGGGGUGAUAGGUGCUCAAUAAAUAUCUAUCAAAAUUUGAA
Molecule: long non-coding RNA, 958 nt
Filed under: Homo sapiens (human)
Lineage: Eukaryota; Metazoa; Chordata; Mammalia; Primates; Hominidae
Description: long intergenic non-protein coding RNA 2423
Source: RNAcentral